Molecule: long non-coding RNA, 2136 nt
Organism: Perca fluviatilis (European perch)
Lineage: Eukaryota; Metazoa; Chordata; Actinopteri; Perciformes; Percidae
Exons: 2
Source: RefSeq, a predicted model, not a curated record
ACUUUCACAGUUCACCAUAGGCUACAUCAUGAUCAUCAUCUUAAGGUCACGGUUUACUGCGUGCUUUUAAUAAACCAAAGCAGAUAACCCAGCUGCUAUUAGAGCUCUCUGUUGGGAGCCAGUGGCAUUUUUCAUUUGAACAGCUGAUCCACACAAUGCUGUGAGCCCAUAUGGAGGUGACAGCUUCUUCUCCAGCAGUCGUUCCUCUGCCUGCUUUUGGGAAGAUUUGUCGACGGUGUUAGCGCCCAGCAGCAGCAGGAACCGGUCUGCUGUCCUAGCUACCUGUGGAGCAGAACAGGUGACAGACAGCGGAGCCUGGUGUGUGUGUGUGUGCGCAACGGACGGACACUCACCAACUGAUUUCAGUGCGCUUCGCCGAAGGAAAGAAACCACGGAGUCCGAAGUUGGAACUAGCCGCCAGCCACCAUCUUCUGCAUGGACGGAGAAGAGUAGCCUAAGCGCGGAGUGUCAGCGGUUCGGUCCGGUAGGCUACGACACACAUUACACUGCCUCAUUACAGCUGACGCCGUUGGACCCGCGGCAUAGUGGACUGCGCCGCGCUGUUACCACGGACAGCCGAGCACCGUGCGCGCGCCCAGUCCCAGCAGCAGCAACAGGGGAGGGGCGUCAACGUGCGCGCACUUAGCCCGGAGGAUACAGGAAAAGACGGGACUUGGCCUUUCAAAGUAAAAUCAGAGCAGCUGUCGAGAAAGAGAAGAGGGAAACAACUGUUUAAAUUAUGUCCGUGAGGAAAAGUGGAACAAAAUACACAGAGUUUUUUUUUGGGUGGGAGGAUAUGCACAAAAAUAAAAUAUGAAUACAUUAAAAAGGGAGCAUUAUAAUCAUCCAAAGACAGAUUAGAAACAUGGAAAGUCGAUAUUGGAGAAAAUAUACGUACCUGAAGAAGAAUGGGAAGUGGCAUGCUUAAAGGCACAGCAAAAUGCAAUUAAUACAAGAUUGAAAUUGCUCCAAUAUAAAUGGCUAAUGCGAACUUAUAUCACCCCAGUAAAGCUGAAUAAAAUCUAUCCUAAUAUUCCAGAUAUUUGUUGUAAGUGUUUAGAGGAAAAGGGGACACUGUUCCACUGUGUUUGGGAAUGCUCCAAAGUACAACUAUUUUGGCAGAGUGUGAUGGGGGCAUUUCCCAGAUAGUAGCUAAGAAUGUUCCCCUGCAAGCAGAACUUUGUAUCCUGGGUAUAUACUCUGAAAAUGUGGUUAUCAAUUCUAAACAAUCAGUGUUGAUUGAUUUUGGGCUUCUUCAAGCUAGAAGACUGAUCGCUCUUUUCUGGAAAAAAUAUACAGUUGCCCUCUGUAAAGUUGUGGUUGAAGGAGAUUGCAACAUACCUUGCACUGGAAAGACUUCCAUAUAUUGUUAGAAGGUAAAGAAAACAGUUUGUUAAAGUGUGGAAACCUUUUUUGGAAUUUUUGGAGGAUGAGAAUGUCGCACUAACUUAAAGAUCACCAUUACUGCUGCUUUUUCAGUUAUUUCUUCUUCUUAUUUUUUUUAUUACUUAUUGUUUUAUUUGUACAAUGAUUUAAUUUGUUUUGCAUCUUUUGAUUGUUUUGUUGUAUUGCACACUUAAUACAUUAUUUGUGUGGUCAUUGUUAUCUGUAUGUUUUCUAAAUGUGAAAAACUUAAAGUAUUGUUUAAAAAAAAAAAGGGGGAGCAUUAUACCACAUAUAACAUUUAUAGAAAAAACGUCUAAUGCAUCUGUCAGUGAUGACAGUGUUUUGCUUAGAGACCUAUAGCCUAUUACACAAUAUAUUGAUUUCAAAAUAAAUUGGCUUAGGCCUACUAACGCCCAAUAUAAUUAUAGGACUAGUACUAUCCUGCUCAAAAAGUCUAAAAGAUGGCUUUCUGUCUGGCCUGAAGCUCUCAUUGUGUAGUGUUACGUUUUCUGAUUUUUCAGCAGAAAUAAUGUUAACCAUAAUACAGUUUAUUGCUUCAAGAAUACCAUUUUACCUGUUUUAGUCUCUCUAAUUCGGUUACUCAAAAUAGAUAAUACAUUUUUGUAGCCUAUUGAAUUUUGGGCUUAUUUUGUAUUAUUUAUAUUAUUAUAAUUAAAAGUAGGCAUAAUAGUAGUAGUAGUAGAACUAGUUGUAAUAGUAAUGACGAUGCAAUAAAUGUUUUUAAAUUGA